Molecule: long non-coding RNA, 6841 nt
Filed under: Ananas comosus (pineapple)
Lineage: Eukaryota; Viridiplantae; Streptophyta; Magnoliopsida; Poales; Bromeliaceae
Description: long non-coding RNA (ACOM_LNC015004)
Source: RNAcentral
GUGAGUUGUAACAUACCAGAUUUUGGUAUAAAAAUAAAAAUAAAUAAAAAUAGUGUGAGAAACUAUUUUUAUUGGAUUCAUAGAAGUAAAACGUAAAUAAGGAGUGACUUGUGCUGAAAUCGGAAUGAAAACAGAAGAUCUAGAAUUUCCUGUUGGAAACGGGACAGAUAAAUUAGCAGAAAAUGUACAGUCUCAGAAAAUUAUGAAAAUUGGAGGAUAAGUCAGAAAUAUUUUUAUGAGGCUAGAUUUAAAGUUUCAUAUUUUUCUGACACCCGUAGAGUGAGAAAUAAAAUUCAAUAGCUAUCUGAUAAAGAUUAUAGUUCGGUAUAGUUUUCGGUGACCAAAUGGGGUCGAAACUGAAAACUUAAAAUAUAUUCUUACUCAGUACGUUAAACUGAGUCUGUCUGUCAAAUUUGAGCUAAAAUGGACAUUCAGAAGGGCUCCAACUGUUCCGAACUGCAAAAACUGCCUGAAGUGAAUAGUGUCUUGGGGUGUAUUAUUAAGAAGCAUGAUGCUUCUUCUUCCUCCUUCAGCCCGAGCACACCCACACCCACGCACGCAUGGAGUAGAGAGAGAAACACCUCUACCACUCUCUAGAUAUCUCUCUCAUCUCUCUAAAUCUCUCUCUAAAAAUUGGAGGGUUGGUGGAGAAGAUGCUCGCAAACGCGUUGGGAGCGACGGAUCGAGCUUUCGUGCGCCCGUUGGAGCGGCAUGUUUUCGUCGCGGCGUUCACAUUGUGGUAAGCUUUUGGGAUUUGGCUUAAUCCUUCACAUUAAGUGUUCUAAUAGCCUCUAAUGAGCUUUGUUAGCAUGUUGCUAUAUUUAAUUUAGAUUAUUUGGCGGUUAAUGGCAUCUAAGGCUCAAAAAUGAAAUUUUGUAAAAUAUGAGGGUUUGAUCUAAUUUGACCCUCCAUAAACUAAAUUGCUAGAUAAACGAACGCGUUUGCGAAGACGGUUCGGCAAUCCGACGAGCCGUUACAAAGUUAUUAAAGAAAUGGACGUUUAGGCUUUGGGUCCGCCGGGAGGGCCGAGGCGACGUCGUAAAAUCGUGGAAAUGGAUUUGAGGCAUCGUAGCACAUAACCGAAGACUUAUAAUUUUCGGGGCUGCGAAGCGGAGCACGGUUGAGGCGCAGUUGCAGUAUCGGGCCAAGCCGGGUGCCGGGUGCCGGGUGCCGCGGGCGGCCGAUUGCAAGUGUCGACAAGCAAUCGGAAUGCGAAAUGAGGUGGGUUGUGCUUACCGAAGCGACUAGGUCGCCUGUAUGUCUAAGAGAAAUGAGAUUUCAUUUUGAUGCAUAUUGACAUAAUAUAAGAAUGUGAAAAGAAUGCAUGCUAACAUACUAUAGAAAUGCAUAUGAUUAAUGCUUUGAAUGCAUAAUAUAAAGGGCGUAUGAAUGUUAGCAUUAUAAGAACAUCAUAAAAGGAAUGUAUGAUGACAUGUUGUAGAAUAUGCUAAAUGUAAUGCAUAAUGAAUUAAGUGCUAAAAGAAUACAUGAGAUGCUAAGUAUGGACUAUUUUGGAUAAUGACUAUAUGUAUGUUGACAUAUCAUGUGAUGCUAGUGGUAUAUGUGCAUGAUGAUAUAUUAUGAAUUUACAUAUUGUGGAUUAUGUUAAAUAGAAAAACAUACUUGAUGACAUAUUGCCAUGUUGUAGAACAUAGUGGACAAUCUAUAUAUAUAUAUUAGAUCGAGUGGCAUUAAACCUAGCAUCUUGGAACCUAGCAAACACUUGUGGUGAUUGAUCAUGUAUAUUCUGGUGUCAUUCAUGUAUGUUAGGACCCUAUUAUUGUGUAAAUGUGAGAGUUGGACUUGAACAUUAGUAAACAAGGGUGACAGUGACAGUAGAGACAUGAUUGGCAUCAAGAAAGUGAUUGUUAAACAUAGUUUAACCAUAUUGACAUUGGUCCAAGUUGAUAUAGAGAGUGGCAUGAUUAAAUAGGUAGAGACCUAUCAUGACAUUGGCAUUGUGACGAGUGGCUAUGAAUUCUCAAGUUGAGGAUUGGAUCGCUACUCACGUUACGUCUUGGCUUGAGGGAGGUAGCUCCCCCUCGGGCGGUGCGCUCCGGAGUUGGUCACCACUGGGCGUGGUAAAGUCCCCCCAGAUGACGGUCCCCAGAGAGGUUCGAGUCCCCCGUUAUUAAGGGAUUUUGGCAGUGAGUUAUUGGAGUUAACAUGGUUAACCGGUAAGAUUGGGUCAUAGCCAAAUGAGUGUACAACAAGUAUGCAUUAUGAGUUAUGGAUUUGGUAUCCUAGUCGAGAGGAUCUAGGGCUGAGGUGUAUGUGAGACGUCCAUCGCCUCGAGCCUGGUUCUAGUGCGGUACUCCGCAGACGAUUGACUCAAGACCGAGUCGGAUAGUUAGCCUUGUAAAGGUAGAUGAAACUUUAUGAUUUAAAAUGGUGAUUGACAAGAAUCUAUGAUAAAGGAAACCUUAGAUAUCAAACGGAUGAGCUAUGGUUAGCAGAAUUGAAAGUAGUAUCGAAUGAACUACUAGUUGGUUGCAUAGUUGCAUUAUUGCAUGAUUUGCAUAUAGCAUUACAUUAUUGCAUUCGUGAGGCAAUGCAUGGUUUUACUCGUUGCAUAAUCAAGAUAUAUAUCUAUCUGUUUAUUGAACUAACUUGCAGUUGCCUCCCUUGGACCUAUUGGUCGAGCUUUUCCCUUGGGUGGCCGUACCCACUGGGAACCAUGGAGUUGGUUCUCACUCCACGUGGUUUUGGGGUGUUUACAGGUUCGCACGUGAGUUGCGCGGCAGCGCGAGGAAAGGGCGUAGCUCCGUAGAUAGCGUCCUACCCCAGAGACCAGAGCUAGCAGUACCCUGUCGGCAUAGUUUAGGGGUUAAAGAAAUAAAAAGAACACAAUGUAACAUGAUGUAUUAAAGAUAUAAAUGUUGUAAUAAUUUAGAUUGCAUUUGGAUGAAAAAAGAAUGGCAGUUGAGGUGUAAAAUGCAUGAAUAUGAAUGAAUAUAAUAAUAUAGGAUGUGUUAUGUUGUUUGAUACCUUCCAUUAUGCAAUCUUGAUUGAAAUGUGUUCCUGGUUGGAAUUUCUUAUAUUGUAUUGAUUGCUAUGCCUUGAACGUACAGGGGAGACUCUGUCCGCAGUAUAGGAAAAACCCUGUCCGUUCGGCGAUCUGUUGGCGUGCCCGAAACCGACCAAAUAGGCGGUCGCGGGGCGUGACAGAUAAGAUGGUAUCAGAGCAUAAAAAGAACAUAAAAAGAAUAAUAGAAAAUGAUUUAGUUGGACCUAGGAGACCCUAGGAUAGUAAACCAUAGGAGAUUAAGGCUCGUGAGAGACGAGGACUUGUUUCUUUUGGCGAAAGGAUAAUUGAUUGGGUUGUGUCAUAAACCUCUAAAACGGAUGUUAGAGGUAGACUCAAGGUGAGGUUUAUUCUCAACAGAGGGUGUUCAUGUUGGGUGCACACAACAUAAAGCCGAGUGAUGAGAGUAGACGCAUUUGCGUGACUUUCGCCCGAUUUGAGUCGGUAUUAAGUGUUUCAUGUUCGACCUAGAAGGUCGAGGAUUAAUAGAGUUGUCACGUUUUCGGAAGUAAUAGCACCGCGUAGGCGAUCUUCUUUUAGAUUGGCGCGGGAUGGGCCAAGUGGUGUCCUUGGGCAAUUUGAGGCGAGCGGAGACUUGGAACUUCGCGAGCUUUGGCAGCCCUUAUUACCUUUGAGAAAUUAACGGAAUCCUCGUCGUGUUAGAUCAAUUUUGGUUAAAUUGACCAAAGUGCGUCGAGAGUAGUUAGACGAAGUCCAAUGGACAUUCCAAUAAUGUUGGAAGGGUUAAAAUUGAGUUCUAAGAGAGUUAGAAAGGUUUUAGCAUUGCUCGGCGUGAAUUGGAGUCGAAGCGGUGCAAAAUCGAAAUUCUGGAACAUGUGUUACCGAUUUAACACCAGGGGUGUACCGGUACAGCGUGGUUGUAACGAAGUGAAUUCUCGAGAGCCUAGAGUUGGACUUUGUCCAGGAUCGGUUAGUUGUCGAGUGGGUAUGUAACAUACCGAAACAUCGAUAACCAAGUAUUAAACCUUGGUCAAAUUGACCAAAGAGCGAGGUUGGUAUGCUUUGGAAAGGCCGAAGGCGUCAAAUAAUGCAAAAGUGCAUUAUUGGGGAUCUUCGAGAGCCUUGGAAAUGAAAAUCUGCAAACUGCAGAUUUUCUGUUCUCGGAGACCGGUCCCUGUGGGGAGAGACCGGUCCCCAAACGCGUAGGCAGCAAGAGGAGAGAAAAAUCGGCUAAGUUCCCGGUGGACAGCUCUCGGGAACCGGUCCCUGCUGGAGAGACCGGUCCCUGAGAGACCAGUCCCCCAAAGAAAGACCGGUUACAUCGGGUGUGAACUCUGCUGACUGCGGGGAGAAGCUCUCGGAGACCGGUCCCUCGUCGGGGAGACCGGUCCCCGAACCCGAAAAUGGCCCAGUCAGGGCAGUGUAAAAGAAUAAAAGUUGAGGGGCUUGUUUGCACUUAUGCAACAUGUGGGGCUAUGUGAGGGGUAUGAGAGCUCUUUUCUCUUAUUUCUCACCCACACACCCUCUCAUAUCUUUCUUUCUCUCUCUAGCAGACAAGAAGAGGAAGAAGAAAGGAAAGGGAAGAAAAAGAAGAAGAAGGAGGUCUUCCUCAUCUUCCUCAUUUUCUCUUUGGUUGGAGCUUCUUGGAGAGGUAAGCUUCUAAGCUCUCUCUCAUGGUGGAUUUCUGGAGAUAGAUUUGAUUGCUCUAGAAAUGGAGUUUUGUAAUAUGUGAGGGCGUAGUACCUGCCAGUACAGGUAUAGAGCCAGAUGGCACUAGCGAAGUGCUAGAAGUAAUCUAUGGCGAGAAGUGAGACUCGCGGUAGAGAUAGAAGUGUCGAAAUGACUCUCAGAGCAAUAUGAGUAGUAAAUUGCGAGAGUCGAGCCAUAAUGCCUAUGGGCACCCGAGUAGUCCGAAAAUUUCAGAUGUCAUUCCGGUAGAUCAAACAAUGAAAGUAGCAUUACUGUUGAGAGAACGGUCGAUUAGUGGCCAAGUUUGAGCACGUGGGCCUAGUAGUACCUCAAGGUGAGGUAGGCGGUUGUGCUCGUGCGGCCGGUGUGCGUAGGCAAGAUUGCCUAAUGCUGGAUUUCGUGUGAAAUGCUGUAGAGGCGUAGAGCGCUCGAGUGUAGAUACCCGUAGAGUGCGGAUGUGGAUUCAGCUGAGAGAGUGUAUUGGCAGUAGCACUUGAGCAUUGCUAAGUGUGAAGCGUGCCAUGGAUCACUCGUGGGACUGGUGACUCGCACUAGGUGCAUAGUAGCCGGUAGUGAUAUGUGUGACUCGGUAGAGCAUGUCGUGUAGGACGACGACGGCGGGUAGUGCUUGGGGACUACCCGUGCCUGGACCAUUAGUGGACUGUGGAGCCUAGGCCCUUUGGGUAGGCGCAGUCAGCUGUGAGUGACAGCGGCCCUGUACCUACGGGUAGGGCAGAGUUCUGGUCAGGACGGUAGUCCGGGCUUAGACCCGGGAGCGUGGAAUGCCACGUGAUAGAUUGUGUGACCGAUGCUACACCGAGUAUGGUUGUGACCCAAUCCGAGGACUUGAGGUGGUUUGGGGUCUUAGUUGCUCUUGGUUGGAGUGUGUGCGAAUUCCCAAGUGAGAAUUUCGCCCGAUCAUGAUUGGGUCUGCAUUUGCGAGCGAGAGACGCUGCGUAUUGAAACAAGUUUAGGCGGUAGGCCUACGUAGGAUUGGUGGCCUUUGGUCCACCUGUGGAUACCGAAGAGAGCGAUUUGGCAGAUAGCCUUAUCGAGGAAUUCGAAUCGAAUUCACGAACGAAGCGCUCGUGUGAGCUCGCUGCGCAGAUAGUUUGAUGUUAAUCGUGGCAUGUGGUGUCAGAUGAUGAAGUACUCCUUGCGAGACAUCGAACUAGUGGAAAGUCACGUGAUGUUGGAGACUAUGCUCGUAAGCGAACUAAAACUUGAGAUGUGCCGAAGAGGGCCAUCUUGCGUUAAAGUUAAGGGUCAGUGCGAAAUUAGAGCACUCACGACGGAGCGAUGCAUCGGUGAUAUUGCUUCUAAGCAAUGUCGGUGAUCGAGUCAGAAUAUAUUCCCUGAAAGGAAGGUAAGUGCAAAGAAGAGUUCUUUGUGUACCGAAUGGUGAGUGGUGUUGGAGCGCAUAGAGUCGUCGGGUACCGACUUGCGCUGCCACUAUAACUUGCAAGACCCGUGAUGCACUGUUCUAUCACACCUUGCAAAUGCGUUUAGGGUUAAACUCACGUCCUUCAGUAUGAGCCGCUUCUGGAACCACGAUAGUGUGAAGCCGCUCUGGAGUGGGAGAAUGAGUUGGUACCCUCAAUUGCUCACGGAGCUGAAUUGAGGCGUUGUUUGAAUUUCGCGGACAAAAUUCUUUUGAGGGGUGGAGAAUGUAACAUACCAGAUUUUGGUAUAAAAAUAAAAAUAAAUAAAAAUAGUGUGAGAAACUAUUUUUAUUGGAUUCAUAAAAGUAAAACGUAAAUCAGGAGUGACUUGUGCUAAAAUCGGAAUGAAAACAGAAGAUCUAGAAUUUUCUGUUGGAAACGGGACAGAUAAAUUAGCAAAAAAUGCAUAGUCUCAGAAAAUUAUGAAAAUUGGAGGAUAAGUCAGAAAUAUUUUUAUGAGGUUAGAUUUAAAGUUUCAUAUUUUUCUGACACCCGUAGAGUGAGAAAUAAAAUCCGAUAGCUAUCUGAUAAAGAUUACAGUUCGGUACAGUUUCCGGUGACCAAAUGGGGUCGAAACUGAAAACUUAAAAUAUAUUCUUACUCAAUACGUUAAACUGAGUCUGUCUGUCAAAUUUGAGCUCAAAUGGACAUUCAGAAGGGCUCCAACUGUUCCGAACUGCAAAAACUGUCUGAAGUGAAUAGUGUCUUGGGGUGUAUUAUUAAG